RNAcentral lists this small nuclear RNA (148 nucleotides) under Canis lupus familiaris (dog). Its description in RNAcentral is "U4 spliceosomal RNA (ENSCAFG00000045630.2, ENSCAFG00030011032.1, ENSCAFG00805008836.1)". The stretch from base 1 to 113 matches the Rfam family "U4 spliceosomal RNA". From Rfam's summary of the family: U4 small nuclear RNA (U4 snRNA) is a component of the major U2-dependent spliceosome. The structure of U4 snRNA from yeast and human has been reported. Lineage: Eukaryota; Metazoa; Chordata; Mammalia; Carnivora; Canidae. The record is from RNAcentral.
AGCUUUGCGCAGUGGCAGUAUCGUAGCCAAUGAGGUUUAUCCGAGGCGCCAUUAUUGCUAAAAAUACCAUUGAAAGCUGUCUUUUCAACAGAAACAAUAAAAGGCAGAAUGCCAUAGAAUUACAAGUUUAAGGUACUGAAAUAUAUAA